AUUGAACGCUGGCGGCAGGCCUAACACAUGCAAGUCGAACGGUAACAGGAAGAAGCUUGCUUCUUUGCUGACGAGUGGCGGACGGGUGAGUAAUGUCUGGGAAACUGCCUGAUGGAGGGGGAUAACUACUGGAAACGGUAGCUAAUACCGCAUAACGUCGCAAGACCAAAGAGGGGGACCUUCGGGCCUCUUGCCAUCGGAUGUGCCCAGAUGGGAUUAGCUAGUAGGUGGGGUAACGGCUCACCUAGGCGACGAUCCCUAGCUGGUCUGAGAGGAUGACCAGCCACACUGGAACUGAGACACGGUCCAGACUCCUACGGGAGGCAGCAGUGGGGAAUAUUGCACAAUGGGCGAAAGCCUGAUGCAGCCAUGCCGCGUGUAUGAAGAAGGCCUUCGGGUUGUAAAGUACUUUCAGCGGGUAGGAAGGGAGUAAAGUUAAUACCUUUGCUCAUUGACGUUACCCGCAGAAGAAGCACCGGCUAACUCCGUG
This 490-nucleotide ribosomal RNA is filed under the name uncultured bacterium. Its description in RNAcentral is "partial 16S ribosomal RNA". It matches the Rfam family "Bacterial small subunit ribosomal RNA", at positions 30 to 507 of the family's 1533-position model. The record is from RNAcentral.